UCUGGAAUGGAGACAAAAUAUAAAAGUUGAACCCCACCCAUUACCUCCUCUGCUUAGCCAAAUGCCUCCCCACCCCAAAAGUGGAACUGGGAGCAGAGCAGCAGUCCUUGGCAUGGGUCCUGGGCAUCAGAGUGGCACCAAUCUCUCUGACAGCUAGCAGGCCUAGAGCCCCAGUUCCCACACCUCCUUUGUCCCUGAUGGGCACCCUUCCCAGCCCAGAAGAGAAUUGCAGAGUGGGGGUUGGGGAGAUGAGCAGCCCUGAAGCUACUGGUCUUCUCAUGAAAAAACUGCUGACCAAUUGAGGAUGCUAAUCCUGAAUGUGUCUUUCUUGAGGGCACCUCUCUGUCGGCCUGAAUAGCUGUAAAUGGAAAUCACUGAGGUGGAAGACUUCAUUAUCGUUAUUAAUUAUGUUCCAGUCCUGGCCCUCUGUUCCUCUGAGCUCUGGGCCUGGGCAAGCAGCCCAGUCGAGAAGCUGUCCAGGCGAACCUCACCUGCAGCCCCAGCUUGCACAGUGAUGGGGUCAGCGAGGAGCACACAGGGGGCCCUUUUCCUGAACUGGUAAGAGCACCAGGCUGCAGGAUAAGUUCUCGGAGAGGAGUUCUCAUAGCUGGUUUUCCCUAAGAAAGAAAGAGAAUUUGGGUUAAGAUUGGGCUCCGCCAGCCCGCUCUUUCUCCCUCCCCAAGAAGCUUUGAGGUACUAAGAAGAGCGGAUUUCCAAUCCCAGUCUCGCUGAAGAGGCAAAGCGACAAAGACUCCAAUCACUCCCCAGCCCCAGCUCCAUCCAGCUUUCCAGGACCCUCAGCACCGCCAGCGCCCCCGCCCCAGUAUUCCGCACACAGUUCUUUCUCUGUGAGAGCUCUCCCGCUCACCGGCUGGGGCGAAGGCGACAGGCUGAUGUUUAACUUUUUCACCCGCCACAUCUUCAAAACUGAAAGCAGGUUGAUCACCUCCCAGACCAAGUCGAGUCCGCCAUAUUCACCCGCCGUCUUUAUUUGAACCUGCUUGGUGCUUCGGGAUUGGCUGCGGAGCCGCAGUGCGUCAGGAUACAGGACAGCUCUGGGCUUGAGCCCGGUGGGCGGAGCCAUCGUUGGCCACGCCCCUCCUUCCGCCCUGCAGUUGAUUUCUGACGUACUCUCGGCCGCAGAAGCCGGCAGCAGGGAGGACCCACAUCAGAUCCACGAUGGGUCCUGGAGUCUUGGUAUCCUCAAGUUGUGGGAGACACCCCAGAGUUUUACUACAUUGCCCAAGAUCGCCUCAAACUGAAUUCAAGUGAUCCUCUUCCCUCAGCUUCCAAAUAGCCCAGACUAUAGACAGCUCCACUAUGCCUGAAAAUAUAUCACUGAAGAGUAUGUUGAAAAUGUCCUCAUUUGGAAGUCUAAUGUGCUAUUCACUGCACCAUGGAGCCACCUAAAAAAAUGUCCUUAUUUGACCUGUUGGAAAUUCUUAUUGAGCCCCCACAUCAGACUAGGUGAAAAAGCAAUUAACUCUACCUUCACGUCUCGAUGGAUGAUGCCCACGUCAUGGAGAUAGCCUGUGGAUGACAGUAAGCAUGGGAUGUACUGAAGUUCUCCUGUUCCUUCCAGUUUCCCUGGUAACCCCUACUUUAUCUUUCUCCUUAUUCUUUGGCUUCCAGAGUUAAUAUCAAUUCUCUCCUCCCCAUCAACUUAAUUCUUCCCUUCCCAUUUCCCUUUCUUACUUACA
This is a non-coding RNA of Ictidomys tridecemlineatus (thirteen-lined ground squirrel), 1700 nucleotides long. Lineage: Eukaryota; Metazoa; Chordata; Mammalia; Rodentia; Sciuridae. The record is from RefSeq and is a predicted model, not a curated record.